RNAcentral lists this ribosomal RNA (301 nucleotides) under uncultured bacterium. RNAcentral describes it as "partial 16S ribosomal RNA". It matches the Rfam family "Bacterial small subunit ribosomal RNA", at positions 509 to 808 of the family's 1533-position model. The record is from RNAcentral.
CAGCCGCCGCGGUAAUACGAAGGGUGCAAGCGUUACUCGGAAUUACUGGGCGUAAAGCGUGCGUAGGUGGUGGUUUAAGUCCGUUGUGAAAGCCCUGGGCUCAACCUGGGAAUUGCAGUGGAUACUGGGUCACUAGAGUGUGGUAGAGGAUAGUGGAAUUUCCGGUGUAGCAGUGAAAUGCGUAGAGAUCGGAAGGAACAUCUGUGGCGAAGGCGACUAUCUGGGCCAACACUGACACUGAGGCACGAAAGCGUGGGGAGCAAACAGGAUUAGAUACCCAGUAGUCCCUGUCUCUUAUACA